AUUGAACGCUGGCGGCAGGCCUAACACAUGCAAGUCGAGCGGAUGAAGGGAGCUUGCUCCUGGAUUCAGCGGCGGACGGGCGAGUAAUGCCUAGGAAUCUGCCUGGUGGUGGGGGAUAACGUCCGGAAACGGGCGCUAAUACCGCAUACGUCCUGAGGGAGAAAGUGGGGGAUCUUCGGACCUCACGCUAUCAGAUGAGCCUAGGUCGGAUUAGCUAGUUGGUGGGGUAAAGGCCUACCAAGGCGACGAUCCGUAACUGGUCUGAGAGGAUGAUCAGUCACACUGGAACUGAGACACGGUCCAGACUCCUACGGGAGGCAGCAGUGGGGAAUAUUGGACAAUGGGCGAAAGCCUGAUCCAGCCAUGCCGCGUGUGUGAAGAAGGUCUUCGGAUUGUAAAGCACUUUAAGUUGGGAGGAAGGGCAGUAAGUUAAUACCUUGCUGUUUUGACGUUACCAACAGAAUAAGCACCGGCUAACUUCGUG
This 484-nucleotide ribosomal RNA is filed under the name uncultured bacterium. RNAcentral describes it as "partial 16S ribosomal RNA". It matches the Rfam family "Bacterial small subunit ribosomal RNA", at positions 30 to 507 of the family's 1533-position model. The record is from RNAcentral.